UUCCUAAGCAGUGACAUAGGAGCUGGGGUUUGGAUGACACCUGUAAUUGUUGCUAAGCUGUGUGGAAUCCUCUCCAACCUCAAGAUUCCGCUUCAGGAGGUCCGGGGUGGUGAUGCCCAUCUGCUACCAUACUUGGUAACAUCCAGAGAAGCUCCAUGUGUCCAAAUGUCCUAGCUGCAGACACUCAGUUGGCCGCUUGGCUGGCGAACACUUACAUCUUGGAGCUUCCAGUGCAGCCCCACCUGGAUCCCACCCCUCUAAUCUGAAGACCCCAGUAAUGUCUAAGGAGAGAAAUAAAGACAACUUUUUUUUUUUUAAUCCCUAUCCCAACUGGAAUGGACUGGGAGAAGGAAACCUUGACCCUUGCUGCUCCGUCAGCCGUUGGGAGGCCCCAUGCCCAGGACUGGGAGCAUCGGGGCAGGGCAGUUCCCAAGAACAGAGUGACCCAUUUGGCCGAGCCAGGUCAAGCCAAGAGUGAACGUCUUAAGAAAUUUGAGCACUUCAUGCCCUUCCAGUACUGCUCAGGUUCCAGGUUGGUUUUCUUCUCUGGUCUCCUUCCCUGGGCUCAAAUUCUCAACAACUGAGGGUGGAAGGACAUUGCUGACUCCAAAGUGCCUCCCCCUCGAAGGCCUGUGCCUUCCUGCUCGGUACCACAGGUGUUCCCACCCACAGUCCAGGGGAGAAUCUAUGCCCAAGGGACAAGGGGCACCAAAUUCCUCAGGCACCUAGGAGAUAUGCCUUACAUUCUCCCUGACAUGUGAAGUUACAGUAAAAGCAAGGGAGACAGCAGCCAAGGGUGAAACUGCUUGUUUUCACCCAUCAGCUUAGCCCAACUGACUUCCGCUGCUGCUGCUCUGGGCUCUGACUGUCCCACUGUUGUUACCACCGAAGUACUGGGCUUGAACUCGAGUUAAGAAGGCCACACGUGGAGACAGAGCGAAGGCAAGAAGGUGACGAGAAGACAGGAGGGUUGAAUUUGAACAGGGAAAAGAUCAAAAGUAAAGCCAGAAUCCUACUUGCUCUUUUUUCCAUUCUCCUUUAUUCCAUAAACACCUAGUUACAAGUUGCACAAAUCAAAAAAUAAAGGCAGAGGAGGGUGUAGGGAAGGUUUCUGUGAUGUGCAGGGAGUGGGAAGGGAGAAAGGGUUGGGAGCCAGUCCUCUCCCUCCACACACAGCCCUGGAUAAGGGCUAUGGCCUCUGCAGUGGGGGAUCUGAGGAGGUGGGCAAAGAUCCAGGGCAGCUGAGGGAUAGAGGAAGCCCCUAAACCCAGAGCUCACCCCAAAAGCCCCUUCGACGCAUGGCGAGGGUAGAAAGGGGAAGGUGAGGAGGCUCAAAGAUGGAGCAGCAAAAUGAAAAAUCAAGUUAGCAGAUACAGGAGAAGUGGACUCAUCAUGGUAGGGGAUUAAAGAAGGAAAAACUAGGUAAAGGGGGCAGUGAAAGGUUCUCCCUGAGACCCCCAGGGAGAGGUGGGGGGCCAGCUUGCCUGUUAAUUUAAUAUUAAAUUGGGAGUGGGAGCUGGAGAGGAAAAAGUUAUUUGGGGGAUGAUUUCUCAGCCUCUCAGCCUGUACCUGGAAGGGAAAGAGAGAAGAGCGAGUCAAAAGACAAAACGUAAAGGCCAGGAGUUGGGUUUACUCUCCCAUUCCAGUGGCAGCAUUCUUCUCUUCAUGCCAACUAAAACUUACACCAUCAAAGGCAGUAAUUGCUGGGCACCUGGACUCCUUCUGCCUCAUGACAAAGGAAUGUGCACAGGUACGUGCCUCAACCCCCCCUCCGUGCCUGACACCUUACAAUUCCUCCCUCUCAAUACUUACAAGAGAGGCUGAGGGCCUAGGGCCCUCACCAGUCAUAGCGGCGGGACUGUCGGGAGGGGGAGUCCUCAGGUCCCUGUAUAGCCAGGCGGGGAGGCCCCUCAGCCCUUCGUCCCCCACCCCCUGAAGCCUCAUGCCGUCGAAAUUCCAGAGGGCGCUGCUGCCGGAAUCGGGAUGUCUCCCUCCGCCAUUCAUCAUCAAAUGCUGCAGCCUCACCUGAAGAGCACAGAGACCAGACGUGACAUUUAAAUAUACAGGCUGGCUUCUGGAAGCAGAGGCAAGCGUGAGCCACAGCCUUCUCAACUCGCAGGAAUGGGACCAGUGGCUACCGGCCCAGGAGCCAGAAGGGUGAUGAGAAGAAAAGAAGGCUCACUCUCAUCCAGGUUGAUAUAAUCCUGCCGCUCCUCCUGGUCCCCUGUGCGGUGGUUUCGGGAGCGCUGGAGGAUGUGAGCCCGGUCUCGGAUGUGAUGCCCGAUGGACAUCUGCUCUAGCCCACUGUCCGAGUCCCGUACGGUCCUGCGAGUCUCCCGGAUCUGGGAGGAGGCAGAACACAGCACACAGCUGUCCCUUCCAAAGCCUGGCUACACCAAGCCGGGAUACACAAACCACCCCCAACCCAAUCAUGAAAAAAGAAGCCAGGGUUUCUGUGCGUGUCAUUCAACCCUGCGUUCUCUGGGAUAUCAGAAGCCCUUCAACUCACCCCGCCUGGUGCCGAGCGCAUCUCUGACGUCUCCUGGUAGACCUUGGGGGCACCAUCACCCGUAUUGGAGUAGGAGAUGACAGUGGAGGAUGAAAAGGUCUGGCAAUUGCCUCCAGCUGUCAUGUGUUCCUGUGGAGGAAAACACACAGCAGCACUGAACGGUCCCUCUGGCGAAGGGAUCCCACAUUUCAGCUGCCUGUUCCUGUCUGUAUCUUUCUUACAAAACAUGAGAAAUGAGAAAACAUCAGGACUCAUCAGUACCCCCCAAAUUCCUCUGAGUCCAACAAUAAACAAGAAAGACCUUUAGAGACUGAGCCUUAAUCGCAUGCUUAGUAAGACUGCUCCUGCUGCUUCCUAGUUAGGCCACGAGAACAGAUAAGGGAACCCAAUGCUCUCUGGGUUCAAUGACUUUAUCCGGCUUGAGCCUUUCCCUAGCGCACUCUUGCCUGCCCCCGCCUCAGAGGACUCAAGAAGGUGUCGCCAGCCAUCACUGAGAACAAGACUGCAAAAGUGUAUGGCGCAAGAGCCUCACCAUGUUCCCAAUCAUGUCGUUCAUCAUCCCAAACAUGUCCAUGAAGCCACCUGACUGCAGCAAAGAGAUGGAAAACAGAGUCAGGAAAGCAAAGUCAGUGCUCAGAUUAUCUUGUUUAGGCACCCACUAGACGCAUGGCUACACAUUCCCUUUCUCCUCUUCCCUCACACGGAGCAACACCUCUGUCUCUUCAUUAGCAUGGCCAGUACAUGGAAUGUUCCUCUCCGUGUUUCCCUUCCCACAUACUGCUACCUUCCUCCUCAGUCUCUAUGGCUGCUCUGAUCCCAUCUUUGUUCUCCUGACUGCCUUAUUUCCUCCUAUCUUUAAGAAGCACACCCAAGUAAAUGAAUUAUAACCUACAAAAAAAGGGGUGGGCAUGAAAUAGUAAAAAACAAAAAAAACCUCUAAAAAGCCAUCUCUUGCUGGCCCUUCAACUGCAUCUCAAUCCUCAGGAAGACAAACUUUGCUAGGCAAUCACAUUUCCCUAAUAGGUAUUGCUCCUAGAAUGCAGGGGUCAGUAAGUGAACAUCUUUAACCCACAGGACUCAGAGCACACAACAGGACCAGAGCUUUGUGAACACUAUAAAAAGAUUGUAGGGGCGCCUGGGUGGCUCAGUCAGUUAAGUGACAGAACUCUUGAUUUCGGCUCAGGUCAUGACCUCACACUUUGUGAGAUGGAACCCCGGAGUCGGGCUCUGCACUGACAGCACGGCACCUGCUUGGGAUUCAUCCUCUCUCUC
Molecule: long non-coding RNA, 3781 nt
Organism: Acinonyx jubatus (cheetah)
Lineage: Eukaryota; Metazoa; Chordata; Mammalia; Carnivora; Felidae
Exons: 5
Source: RefSeq, a predicted model, not a curated record